RNAcentral lists this ribosomal RNA (1452 nucleotides) under marine metagenome. RNAcentral describes it as "bacterial LSU rRNA". It matches the Rfam family "Archaeal large subunit ribosomal RNA", at positions 1542 to 2987 of the family's 2987-position model. The record is from RNAcentral.
AAUGUAUAUAUUAUGCAAUAUUAUACAAAUUGAAGUUGGUUCUACAAAUUAUUUUGUGCGUGUAAUAGUUUAUUCUGAAAGAUGUAAUGUGAUAAGUGAUAAAUACCCCAUAGGUAUGCACAUUUUAUAAUCUACAUGGUUAUGCGAGAAGGCGUGAGCAAAAGACGGAUGAUGCCUAGGUCCCAUGAAAAGCCGUAGAGGUGACCGUACCUAGAACUGACACAGGUACCCAAGGUGAGUAGCCUAAGGUGUGACGGGCAAAGUACCGCGAAGGAACUCGGCAAAAUCGCUCUGUAACUUCGGGAGAAGGAGUGCCAGCUUAGAGAUAAGCUGGUCGCAGUGACCAGGGGACUCCGACUGUUUAAUAAAAACAUAGCCGACUGCUAGUUCGAAAGAAUGUGUAUAGUCGGUGAAUCCUGCUCAGUGCUGGUAUCUGAAAUCGGGUUACAACCUGACGAAGGACCAGUAAACAGCGGGGGUAACUAUGACCCUCUUAAGGUAGCGUAAUACCUUGUCGCUUAAUUGGCGACUUGCAUGAAUGGCACAACGAGAGUCCCACUGUCUCCGCGGUACGUCCGGCGAAAUUGACUUUACUGGCGCACAGUCCAGUAACCUCAACCUGCAAGCGAAGACCCCGUAGAGCUUUACUGCAACCUGGCGUUGUUCAGUCGCACACUACGUGCUGAGUAGACGGGAGACGCUGAUCCUCGGGACGCCAGUCCCGGGAGUAGUCACCAAUAGAGACACCGUCCUUAGUUUGUAACUGAACUAACUCUUCAUGAGAACACCGCUUGGUGGGCAGUUUGGGUGGGGCGCCACGCGCUCGAAAAAAUAACAAGCGUGCCCAAAGGUCAGCUUAGGUGGUUCAGUCUCCACCGUGAAAUGUAAGGGUAAAAGCUGGCUUGACGUGGAUCGGCACAAUAACGAUCGACGAUGCGAAAGCAGGGCCUAUCGAACCAAUGUGCCUCAUUUCUGGGGGCCAUUGAUAACAGAAAAGUUACCUCGGGGAUAAUUGAGUUGUCACCAGCAAGAGCACAUAUCGACCUGGUGGCUUGCUACUUCGAUGUCGUCUCUUCCCAACCUCCUGGUGCAGCAGCUGGGAAGGGUGGGGUUGUUCGCCCAUUAAAGGGGAUCGUGAGAUGGGUUUAGACCGUCGUGAGACAGGUUUGUUGCUUUGUGGUUGAGGCGUAUAAGAUGCCUGAUCGGAAGGGCCCUUUAGUACGAGAGGAACGAGGGCUCGGGGCCACUAGUUUACCAGUUGUCCGGCAGGGCAAUGCUGGGUAGCCACGCCCUACGUGGAUAAGAGCUGAAAGCAUCUAAGCUCGAAGUCACCCGAAAGACGAGGCAUCUCAGGGGACUCGUAGAAGACGAGUUUGAUAGACAGCGGGUGUAAGCACCGAGGUUCGCCGAGGUGUUCAGCCCAGCUGCACUAACCCCCCGAGCAUCUACAAU